RNAcentral lists this ribosomal RNA (1449 nucleotides) under uncultured bacterium. Its description in RNAcentral is "bacterial SSU rRNA". It matches the Rfam family "Bacterial small subunit ribosomal RNA". The record is from RNAcentral.
AGAGUUUGAUCCUGGCUCAGGAUGAACGCUGGCGGCGUGCUUAACACAUGCAAGUCGAACGAACCUUCGGGUUAGUGGCGGACGGGUGAGUAACGCGUGGGAAUCUGCCCUCAGGAGGGGGAUAACGGCUGGAAACGGCCGCUAAUACCCCAUAUGCCGAGAGGUGAAAUGAAUUUCGCCUGAGGAUGAGCCCGCGUCUGAUUAGCUAGUUGGUGAGGUAAGAGCUCACCAAGGCAUCGAUCAGUAGCUGGUCUGAGAGGAUGAUCAGCCACACUGGGACUGAGACACGGCCCAGACUCCUACGGGAGGCAGCAGUGGGGAAUUUUCCGCAAUGGGCGAAAGCCUGACGGAGCAACGCCGCGUGAGGGAUGAAGGCCUCUGGGCUGUAAACCUCUUUUCUCAAGGAAGAAGAUCUGACGGUACUUGAGGAAUAAGCCACGGCUAAUUCCGUGCCAGCAGCCGCGGUAAUACGGGAGUGGCAAGCGUUAUCCGGAAUUAUUGGGCGUAAAGCGUCCGCAGGCGGCCCUUCAAGUCUGCUGUUAAAACGUGGAGCUUAACUCCAUCAUGGCAGUGGAAACUGUUGGGCUUGAGUGUGGUAGGGGCAGAGGGAAUUCCCGGUGUAGCGGUGAAAUGCGUAGAUAUCGGGAAGAACACCAGUGGCGAAGGCGCUCUGCUGGGCCAUAACUGACGCUCAUGGACGAAAGCCAGGGGAGCGAAAGGGAUUAGAUACCCCUGUAGUCCUGGCCGUAAACGAUGAACACUAGGUGUCGGGGGAAUCGACCCCCUCGGUGUCGUAGCCAACGCGUUAAGUGUUCCGCCUGGGGAGUACGCACGCAAGUGUGAAACUCAAAGGAAUUGACGGGGGCCCGCACAAGCGGUGGAGUAUGUGGUUUAAUUCGAUGCAACGCGAAGAACCUUACCAGGGUUUGACAUCCUGCGAAUCUCUUGGAAACGAGAGAGUGCCUCCGGGAACGCAGUGACAGGUGGUGCAUGGCUGUCGUCAGCUCGUGUCGUGAGAUGUUGGGUUAAGUCCCGCAACGAGCGCAACCCACGUCUUUAGUUGCCAGCAUUUAGUUGGGCACUCUAGAGAGACCGCCGGUGAUAAACCGGAGGAAGGUGUGGAUGACGUCAAGUCAUCAUGCCCCUUACAUCCUGGGCUACACACGUACUACAAUGCUACGGACAAAGAGCAGCAAGUUCGCGAGGACAAGCAAAUCUCAUAAACCGUGGCUCAGUUCAGAUCGUAGGCUGCAACUCGCCUACGUGAAGGAGGAAUCGCUAGUAAUCGCAGGUCAGCAUACUGCGGUGAAUACGUUCCCGGGCCUUGUACACACCGCCCGUCACACCAUGGAAGUUGGCCACGCCCGAAGCCGUUACUCCAACCCUUGUGGAGGAGGACGUCGAAGGUGGGGCUGAUGACUGGGGUGAAGUCGUAACAAGGUAACCGUA